Molecule: small nuclear RNA, 159 nt
Filed under: Propithecus coquereli (Coquerel's sifaka)
Lineage: Eukaryota; Metazoa; Chordata; Mammalia; Primates; Indriidae
Description: U1 spliceosomal RNA (ENSPCOG00000006834.1)
Rfam family: U1 spliceosomal RNA
About the family: U1 is a small nuclear RNA (snRNA) component of the spliceosome (involved in pre-mRNA splicing).
Source: Rfam by way of RNAcentral
AUAAAUCUUUGCAGGGGAGAUACCAUGAUCACGAAGGUGAUUGUCCCAGGGCGAGGCUUAUCCACUGCAUUCCGGAUGCGCUGAGCCCAGCGAUUUCCCCAAAUAUGGGAAACGACUGCAUAAUUUGUGCCAGAGGGGAACUGUAUGUGCUCUUCUCCA